UCAUAAAUUAUAUUUGACGAAUGGUCUCCACAUCCUAUUAUUUACCACCAAGUUAUAUAACUCACGACAUAAAAAAUAUAUAUAUAGGACACCGUUCUCAUCUAAAUCUCAUUCACAGUCUACUCAACAAUCAGCCAGAAUGAAGUCAUUUGUUGCUAUCUGUUUAACUGUUCUUCUCGUCUCGGCUGUAUCGGCCCAAGGUCAAGGUGGCUGGGGACCCGGAAGUGCUAGAUUUCAGCAGCGUAUGGCUAAAUUCAGUCAGCCAGGAGGUUUGUUUGACCAGUGGGCAGCCCCCGGUGGACUAUUUGAUCAGUGGGCAGGUCCUGGUUCACCGUUUAGAAGAAUGGCGAACAGAAACUGGGGACAGUAUGGAGCACCGGCCCAAUAAUCCUAGAAAUUCUUGUACAUAUUAACACGGUAUAACAGAUAGAUCGCCUCUACACUAGGAUCGACCAUUACGAAAUCGAAUCUGAGUUAUGAUAAACAGCCAAACACGGAGAAAAUACCAGAUUUUAAUGAAACAUUUUAAUUUAAAAAACCUAUAUUUAACAGUUAAUGAUUAACUUUAUGUAAGAUAAAAUAGUCUGUUUUUGUGUGAUAAUAAUAAAA
This is a long non-coding RNA of Patella vulgata (common limpet), 609 nucleotides long. RefSeq lists it as uncharacterized. The record is from RefSeq and is a predicted model, not a curated record. The transcript is spliced from 3 exons. NCBI's taxonomy places the organism in Eukaryota, Metazoa, Mollusca, Gastropoda, Patellidae.